Anolis carolinensis (green anole) is the source of this 3063-nucleotide long non-coding RNA. RefSeq lists it as uncharacterized. The transcript is spliced from 2 exons. The record is from RefSeq and is a predicted model, not a curated record. Lineage: Eukaryota; Metazoa; Chordata; Lepidosauria; Squamata; Anolidae.
AGAAAUUUGAACUCAAAUUACCUCUGAUUCAGUCACUUAACGAAAUAUAACAGGGGAAGAAGGGCUUAGUAAAGGUGCCCGACUCAGUUAAUCACUGGAAAUAGGAGAAAGAGUUGCAAGCUUAUGAGAAAUGACAAAAAAAUAAAUAUAUAGAGGUCAAGGGUUUCCUGAAGAUGGGAUUCCUCCAACAUUUGGGGACCACGGAUGGGAUGCAUAUCCCUAUCUGCACCACCUGGCAUACAAGGGAGGAAUUUCUAAACUGGAAGACUCAUUUUCCAUUUUUCAUUAGGGGACGAUUACUUAGCCUGGCUGUCCUCUUUCCAAACAACUGCAAGUUGACUGAAGCUGCCUUGCUGUACAAUUCUGGGGAAGGGCAAAGAAACCACACCUGAUCACCCAAUAGUGCAGUGAAGUAAAAUGAGAUAUUCACAUGAAAUAUUACACACAAACAAUAGCAAUAGCUGAGAUCAUAAAUGUAUUAUUUCAAAUGUGAAAAGAUCUUACUUCCUUAUGACUUAACAGCAAAACACCACUGGAAGAGAAGGAAACUGUGCAAUACGAUCUGGCCAACGAUAGGACUAAUGUGGUGCAAUUGUGGUACAACAGCAUUACACGAUAUUCUUCUAAGUUUAUUUAUUUUUGGAGUAGAAUGGUUGACUGUCUGGGUGGUAAUAUUUUGUUUUCAUCUGUUUUAUGGUUUUCAAAUCUUCCUUUUUAACAAUUUCAGCUAUAUUUUACAGAGCUUGGAACAUUAGGUUUGUAAAUUAAUAUGAUAAUGCGAACCAUUAGAAACUGGAAAAUUAAUCUGCUACCAUAAACACUAAUGAUCAAAAUGGUUUAAUGGGUUGAGUCGUUGAUUAAAAUAUGAGUGUUGUGGCAGACCAUGUUACAAAUUACAUAUUACAAAACAUGUCAUGGAGUUUGUCACUAUUGUACUUGGCAAAGUACGUUUUGUGACCAGUAUUUUCAAAAAGACUCCUUUUGUCCUUUUAACAUUGCCUUAUUCCAACCUGAAAUUUAUCUCCAUAUGGACUACAAAGCCCAUAAUAGGAUUGAUCAUUGUCUGGGAAUGAUGGGAUGGGAAUCCAACAUGUUUGGGAACUAAUAGGUUGGGGAAGACUUUUCAAAGAAGGGGAUCUCAUUUCCUCAAUUAUGUCUGAUAGCCACAUCUUUUCUUUCCAUACAUCCAUUAAGAUGUACAGUCAACUCAUAUUCAAAUGCUUUGUUUCUUAAUAUCAAUAAUGAGUAAUUUAUUUAUUUUAGGGCAGUGAUCAAGAACAAGCGGAUGGCUACAAAGCUGGGUCAAUGAAUUAAGAGUUAAGAAUAAUUAAUGCAAAAUACUUGAGAGUCACUGAACAUACAGAAAACAUUUUCCUUCACAAGUGAAAUAAUUGAUUCUUUCUGCUUAUCUAUUCCUGAACAAGAACAGUGAUCUUCAAACAUCAACAGUAUUUGAAAAAUUGCAUCUCCUUGUAUAAACCAGCACAAGCACUUUGUUCUAUGGAGGAGGUCCUGCUCUUGAUCCCAUCCUCGUCUCAAGUGCGGUUGGUGGGAACGAGAGAGGGUAUUGUGGCUCACGGCCUAUACUUCCUACAGAGAUAGAUUUGGAAACAGAUUCUACUUCGGAUUUAGGAGCCGUUCCGGACAUGGAACGAGGCCCAUUGCCCUUGCAGCUGCCUGAAAUGGUGGUGCCAGAAGAUCCACUAACUCCGAUGUCUCCUCAAGGUUGGUUUUGCCAGAUGGUGUUGACUUGGGCGAAGAGGGGUUGUUUAAUCGGAAGGAAUCUUUCAUGAGAGAUAGAAGCAGAAGGGAGGGUGUGAGAAGAAGUAAAAGGUUAGCUCUCAGAUUUGAUAAUGACUAACUUUCCCAUGUGAAGCUUUGUGCGUCAUGCACUCCCAUAUUCUUGCAACCUUGGGAUAUCCUUAAAGGUGUCCUCCUUUGUGUUUCUCAUUGUGAUGUCAACUUUACUUUCCUCAGAAGCGGUUCCAGUAUCCAGCUCCUAGCCUUGUUUCUUGCCUUGUUCCCCUGCCUGGUUUCCAGUUCCAUCCAAGCCGCGCCGCGUCCCAUGACUCUUGAGUAGGUCUUGUUUGUUUACCUUGCUUUCCUUUUUCCUGUCAAGACUUUCCAUCCAAGCUGUGCCGCUUCCUGUGACUCUCGAGUAGACCUUGUUUGUUUACCUUGCUUUCCCUUUUCCUGUGGUGGGACUCUCCAAGUGGAUUACAGUUUGCAGAUUUGCAGCGUCUUAUUCCUGCUUCUUGGUUUAUGGACUAACUUCAAUUCUUGGUGGAACUAACGAGUUUCACUUGUGGAUUACAAAUGGGACAUUGUUGAACUUGUUUUGAACUGUUAAAGACUCUACAUUAAGGACUAUUUCUCAUACUGACUUCGUACGCUAGCUGCUCAUAGAUAUAUACAGUAGAGUUUCACUUAUCCAACAUUCGCUUAUCCAACGUUCUGGAUUAUCCAAUGCAUUUUUGUAUUCAAUCUUUUCAAUACAUCGUGAUAUUUUGGUGCUAAAUUCAUAAAUACAGUGAUUACUACAUAGCAUUACUUCAUAUUGAACUACUUUUUCUGUCAAAUUUGUUGUAUAACAUGAUGUUUUGGUGCUUAAUUUGUAAAAUCAUAACUUAAUUUGGUGUUUAAUAGGCUUCUCCUUAAUCUCUCCUUGUUAUCCAACAUAUUCGCUUAUCCAAUGUUCUGCUGGCCCGUUUAUGUUGGAUAAGUGCGACUCUACUGUAUAUAUAUACCUUAAUAAACUGCUUGUGUGUGAUACUGGUUUCUAUCUGGUUUUCAGGGUGCUCUUGUAGCCUUGGGGUGUAAGAGAGGGGCCUUCUCUGUGGCUGCCUCCCGCCUCUGGGACUCCCUCCCAAAAGAACUAAAAUGGCCCCCUCUCUCCUCUCCUUUUAAAAUGCUUCUAAAGACACAUUUAUGUAAUCUCACUUAUGGAGAGGAGGAGCAAUAACACAACUGAUACACACUCCCACCCUGACAACGGAUAUUUACUUCAACUUGCUGAUAUGCUAUGUUAUAUUGUGCUUUUAAUAUAUUGUUUAUUAAUUGGUA